Magnolia sinica is the source of this 1831-nucleotide RNA transcript. It is a transcript of the gene named putative DUF21 domain-containing protein At3g13070, chloroplastic, with no coding region annotated. The transcript has 4 exons. Lineage: Eukaryota; Viridiplantae; Streptophyta; Magnoliopsida; Magnoliales; Magnoliaceae. The record is from RefSeq and is a predicted model, not a curated record.
GAGAAGGAAACCGACGAAAUCCUCUCGCAUCUAGGGUUGCAGAAACUCUAACCAGUUUUUCUAUCCCUUUUCUCUCUCUCCAAUGCCCUACAUUCUGAAAAUCCCUGGAAUUUCCAUCCUAGGUUUUUUCCACGCGCUCCUUGAUCUGCAUUACCGGGAUUUUCUGGAGAGAAAACGGGAGGUUUCUAGGGUUUAUAGCUGAGAAAGAAUAGAAGCCUCUGAAAUCCCUGUUUUUUCCUAAAAUUUCUAGAAAUCUGUUCUGUUUUCCUGUUUGUAAAGGUGGAUCUGACCAUCGGAGAUCUUCAAGGUGUUUGUGCUUGUCAAUUCAGAGUUUUCUGGAGAGGAAUCAAGAGGUUGUCGGGUUGCUGGCUUCAGUGAUACUGAAUCCUCAGAAUUUGAGUUUUCCCAUCUCCUUUUUGGAGACAUCUACCGUUUUUUUGCUCGGAUCGAAGCUCAAUCAACGCGGAAGCUCGGAUCUUUGGAGUUUCCAAACCUUUGGCUUGCUCAUUUUCACUGAAUUUUUGAAAGAAAUCUGACCUCUUAUGUUUCUUUCUCUUUUCCUCCAAAGGAAUAUGAUCUAUCUUUCCUUUCCAAUCUCUGUUCAGCUCUUCCUUUAAAGCUUUUCAUGAGUUUCUUUGAUAUGUUAAAACUCUUAGAAGCUAAAGUCAUCUUUGAACUAUUUCUGUUGUUCGAUUUCUUUAUUUUGCAUUUUAUAGGUUUUUCCUUCAUUAGAUUGAUGUUCAGCUAUGUAUCUAAUUCUAUUUAAAUUAGAUGUUGCAAUGCUGGAUAUAAUACGUUUUCUUUUUUAUUGGAUGCUGGAUAUAAAACUUCUGUAGCUCCUAAGAAGUUUUAAAUGGUAGGUGAUCAUUCUGCAAUACUUACUGGAUAUAAUACUAAUGGUUCACUUGAGUUUUGAUUCUAUCUCAUUUUUUUAGCUCGUGUCCUAAAAUUAUUUGGCAAAGAAAAUGGACGGGGCGAAUUUCUCAUCAACAUUACAGUGGCCCUACCUAGCUCCCAUGGCAAGAAGUUCAUGGGAAAGAUUUUCGAAGAAAAGUCUGGUGGGUUUGUCACUUGUGAGAGCCAUUCCGAAGAAAAGCGUGUUGACAAUAUAGUGGGUAUUGCAUAUGCAAUGGAUAUGCUGGAUUAUGUUGAAAAGGUUGAUAAACUAGAAAGUUCUACUGUGGGAGCAAUUGCGCAUAAGCCUACCUACUUUGUACCUGAUUCGGAAUGGAGCAUCCAUAAUAUCUAAUGCUAAGUGAUAAUUGUUUAUCCUUAGAAGCGCUGAAUGAACUAACAGACGGUUACCCUGCCUCAUAUUAUGCUGAAAGACUGCUAUACUGCACUUUUGCAUUAUAAAUUUCCAUAAAGCUCUUUUUUUUUUUUUUUUUUUCAAAAUGAAUGAUGAAAUUUGGAUGAUAUCACGGAUUCAAUGUCCGUGUGGAAUCUGCUGAGAGAGUUCCGCAUAGGAAGGUUCAUAUGGCUAUUGUUCUAAAUGAAUAUGGUGGAACUGUGGGAGAUAUGGUGAAGCUUGUGAUUCAGAGAUAUACUAGAGAAGCUGGUGUGCGAAAUCUAGAGAGAAACUUAGCUGCCCUGGCUCGUGCAGCUGCUGUCAAAGCUGCUGAGCAAGAAUGUGCAGUUCCAGUCAGCAAAGAUGUAUACCCGAUGGCAGAAUGACUUCUUGAUACAAGACUUGCAGUUGGUGCUGAAGUUGAAAUGGAAGUCAUUCCAAUGGGUGUUAACGGACAUGAAAUAUCAAAUGCUCUUAGGAGUACCCCAGCAUUGGUUGUAGAUGAGGCUAUGCUGGAAAAGAUACUGGGGGUAAUAUAUCUUU